This 253-nucleotide ribosomal RNA is filed under the name uncultured bacterium. Its description in RNAcentral is "partial 16S ribosomal RNA". It matches the Rfam family "Bacterial small subunit ribosomal RNA", at positions 524 to 776 of the family's 1533-position model. The record is from RNAcentral.
UACGUAGGGUGCAAGCGUUAAUCGGAAUUACUGGGCGUAAAGCGUGCGCAGGCGGCUUUGCAAGACAGAUGUGAAAUCCCCGGGCUCAACCUGGGAACUGCAUUUGUGACUGCAUGGCUGGAGUGCGGCAGAGGGGGAUGGAAUUCCGCGUGUAGCAGUGAAAUGCGUAGAUAUGCGGAGGAACACCGAUGGCGAAGGCAAUCCCCUGGACCUGUACUGACGCUCAUGCACGAAAGCGUGGGGAGCAAACAGG